CUUCCUACGGGACGAAGCAGUGAGGAAUAGUGGUAAAUGGGAGGGAGCCUGAACCAGCCAAGUCGCGUGAGGGAAGACGGUCCUAUGGAUUGUAAACCUCUUUAGGCGGGGAGCAAUGCCGGGCACGCGUGUCCGGAGGGAGAGUACCCGCAGAAUAAGCAUCGGCUAACUCCGUGCCAGCAGCCGCGGUAAUACGGAGGAUGCGAGCGUUAUCCGGAUUUAUUGGGUUUAAAGGGUGCGUAGGCGGAUUUUUAAGUCAGCGGUAAAAUGUCCGGGCUCAACCCGGGCCGGCCGUUGAAACUGGG
Molecule: ribosomal RNA, 305 nt
Filed under: uncultured bacterium
Lineage: Bacteria
Description: bacterial SSU rRNA
Rfam family: Bacterial small subunit ribosomal RNA
Source: RNAcentral